AGAGUUUGAUCCUGGCUCAGAGCGAACGUUAGCGGCGCGCCUAACACAUGCAAGUCGAGCGAGAAUUGGGGCUUCGGCUCCAUAGUAAAGCGGCGCACGGGUGAGUAACACGUAGAUAAUCUACCUCUUGGUGGGGGACAACCUUCCGAAAGGAGGGCUAAUACCGCAUCAGACCACGGUGACUUCGGUCGCAGGGGUUAAAGGUGGCCUCUUCAUGAAAGUUAUCGCCAGGAGAUGAGUCUGCGUCCCAUCAGCUAGUUGGUAGGGUAACGGCCUACCAAGGCUACGACGGGUAGCUGGUCUGAGAGGAUGAUCAGCCACACUGGAACUGAGACACGGUCCAGACUCCUACGGGAGGCAGCAGUGGGGGAAUCUUGCGCAAUGGGCGAAAGCCUGACGCAGCGACGCCGCGUGGGGUGAUGAAGGCCUUCGGGUUGUAAAGCCCUGUGGGGGAGGGACGAACAAGUGCCAACCUAAUACGUUGGUGCCUUGACGAGUACCUCCUUAGCAAGCACCGGGCUAACUCUGUGUCAGCAGCCCGCGGUAAGACAGAAGGGUGCAACGUUGCUCGGAAAUUACUUGGGCGUAAGCGCGUGUAAGCCGGCUUGUUAAGUCGGUGGUGAAAUCCCUGCCGGCUCCAAACCAGAGCGAAGGUGCAGUUCUAUACUGGGCAUAGGCCGAGUCCCGAGAGGGUCCGUGGGAACUUGCCGUCGGGUAAAGGAGAAUUUCUAAAUAUUCGAGGGAAACGCCGCGGAGGGAAGUCGUGGUACCUGGACCAUUACUGACCGCUCAGACGGAGGCGUGGGGAGCAAACAGGAUUAGAUUCCCGUGGUUAGUCCCACGCUAUAAACGAUGGGUUACUAGGUUUUGGCGGGAUAUGCCCCCUCGCGGGUGCCGAAAGCUAACCCAUUAAGUCCCCCCGCCUGGGGGAUUACCGCCCCGCAGGUUUAAAAUUCAAAGGAAAUGGCGGGGGGCCCCCCCCAAAGCGGGGGAGCAUGUGGUUUAAUUUCGCCGCACCGCGAAAGACCCUUUCCCGGGGUUUAGAACCCGUGGGACCCCUGAAGAAAAUUCGGGGGGUGCUCCCAAGGAGACCCAACGCCCUCGGUGCUCCAUGGCUGUCGUCAGCUCCGUGUCGUGAAGAUGUUGGGUUAAAGUCCCGCCAACGAGCCGCACCCCCUGUUAUUAGUUGCCAUCAGUUCGGCUGGGCACCCUAAUGAAACCCCCCGUUGAUAAAACGGAGGAAGGUGGGGAUGACGUCAAGUCCUCAUGGCCCUUAUAUCCGGGGCUACACACGUGCUACAAUGGCCGGUACAAAGGGCCGCAAACCCGCGAGGGCAAGCAAAUCCCAAAAAACCGGUCUCAGUACGGAUAGGAGUCUGCAACUCGACUCCUUGAAGUCGGAAUCGCUAGUAAUCCCUGAUCAGCAGGCAGGGGUGAAUACGUUCCCGGGCCUUGUACACACCGCCCGUCACACCAUGGGAGUCGGUUGCUCCAGAAGUGGCUGUGCUAACCCGCAAGGGAGGCAGGUCCCUAAGGAGUGGCCGGUAACUGGGGUGAAGUCGUAACAAGGUAACC
RNAcentral lists this ribosomal RNA (1575 nucleotides) under uncultured bacterium. RNAcentral describes it as "16S ribosomal RNA". It matches the Rfam family "Bacterial small subunit ribosomal RNA". The record is from RNAcentral.